Molecule: ribosomal RNA, 253 nt
Filed under: uncultured bacterium
Lineage: Bacteria
Description: partial 16S ribosomal RNA
Rfam family: Bacterial small subunit ribosomal RNA
Source: RNAcentral
UACGUAGGGGGCGAGCGUUGUCCGGAAUCAUUGGGCGUAAAGCGCGUGUAGGCGGCCCGGAAAGUCUGGUGUGAAAACUUGAGGCUCAACCUCAAGCUGUCACUGGAUACUAUCGGGCUUGAGUCCGGAAGAGGAGAGUGGAAUUCCUGGUGUAGCGGUGGAAUGCGCAGAUAUCAGGAGGAACACCUGAGGUGAAGACGGGUUGCUGGGCUGACACUGACGCUGAGGCGCGAAAGCUAGGGGAGCAAACGGG